GUGGGGAAUAUUGGACAAUGGGCGAAAGCCUGAUCCAGCCAUGCCGCGUGUGUGAAGAAGGUCUUCGGAUUGUAAAGCACUUUAAGUUGGGAGGAAGGGCAGUAAGUUAAUACCUUGCUGUUUUGACGUUACCGACAGAAUAAGCACCGGCUAACUUCGUGCCAGCAGCCGCGGUAAUACGAAGGGUGCAAGCGUUGAUCGGAAUUACUGGGCGUAAAGCGCGCGUAGGUGGUUUUGUAAGUUGGAGGUGAAAUCCCCGGGCUCAACCUGGGAACUGCCUCCAAAACUGCAUGACUAGAGUACGGUAGAGGGUAGUGGAAUUUCCUGUGUAGCGGUGAAAUGCGUAGAUAUAGGAAGGAACACCAGUGGCGAAGGCGACUACCUGGACUGAUACUGACACUGAGGUGCGAAAGCGUGGGGAGCAAACAGGAUUAGAAACCCCUGUAGUCC
This 450-nucleotide ribosomal RNA is filed under the name uncultured bacterium. RNAcentral describes it as "bacterial SSU rRNA". It matches the Rfam family "Bacterial small subunit ribosomal RNA", at positions 354 to 796 of the family's 1533-position model. The record is from RNAcentral.